This 381-nucleotide ribosomal RNA is filed under the name uncultured eukaryote. RNAcentral describes it as "partial 18S ribosomal RNA". It matches the Rfam family "Eukaryotic small subunit ribosomal RNA", at positions 592 to 976 of the family's 1831-position model. The record is from RNAcentral.
CAAUAGCGUAUAUUAAAGCUGUUGCGGUUAAAAAGCUCGUAGUUGGAUUUCUGUCAAGGACAGCUGGUCCGCCCCUCGGGUGAGCACAUAGUUUGGUCUUGGCAUCUUGUUGGAAACUGUUGCUGCACUUGGUUGUGUGGCGCAGUGUCCAGCACUUUCACUUUGAGGAAAUUGGAGUGUUUCAAGCAGGCACAUGCCUUUGGACACAGUAGCAUGGAAUAAUUAGAUUGGGCUUUUGCUCCAACUUGUCGGUUUCUGGAGCUGAGGUGAGAAUUAAUGGGGAUUGUUGGGGGCAUCCGAAUUUAGCCGUCAGAGGUGAAAUUCUUGGAUCUGCUAAAGACGGACAACUGCGAAAGCGUUUGCCCAGGAUGUUUUCAUUGA